UCUCUGGUCCUGGUGCUUAGCUAGGAAGAGACAAUUUUGUCUCUGGUCUUGUUUCUGAUUCUGUUUCCAUAAUGAAACCUGGACUUGUGUUGGUCCUGCGCAUUCAAGCCCUGGCACCAGUGCUGCUCUACAAGAAGCUCGGGAGGAGAAGAUGGUGGAUCUCUGCAGUGACCUGAAGGCCUCUCUUGGAGCUGACCCUACGGCUGCUUGUGAGGGUAGAUAAAGGGAUGGAGGAAAGCCCACAAGAAUGCACUGAAAAAAAUCUUUCUGGACCCUCAUUAUCACUGUGACCAAUAAGGAAUGGUCAUAAUGUAUUUCAGGCACUGCUUUAGUAAGGUGGUAAUCCCCCCAGCACACAGGCAUUCCAAAUCAGCUGGAAGCUGAAUUAAAAGUUUGACAGCAAGGUUUCCAGCACAGACCAGUACAGUUCUUCAGCCUUCCUCUGGUAUUUUCUGAUAGAUGAAUUAAGGACAGCUGAAAAUGUCAGGAAAGCACCUAUACAGGUGUCAAACUCUGCUCUCUGCAAGCAGUCACAGCUGACCGUGCACAAGGGAAGGCUGAUGGACUCAUUGCAGAACCAGUUUCACCUCAAACUUAUCCUGCAAGUCCUCAGAUGCUCAUUGUGCUUGACUUCAAUGUGCUGAUAGACUUGUGAGGGUGUGGUUCUGCCCAUGCCUGUUGUGGAAGAGCUAUCUGAAUAAUUUUGAGGAUACAGAAGAUGUUUAAGCAGUUAAUUGGUUCUCUCAAUGGGGCUGGAGGGCUUGUGGGAGGGUAGCCUCUGGUGUAGGAGCAUUAAACAAUCAGCAAAACAUUAUGCUGAUUAUUCAUGUAUUAAUUGGCAGAAGAAAAAGCUCCGGGGGAGACUCAGACUGCUAAUUUCCAUCCUGACACAGCACUGAAAGGUCUCCCCAAGCAAAAUCUGCUCCCUUGAGAGCUUUCCUUCAGCUUAGUUGUGACUGUAAUAACACCCGGGAGACUCCUCCUGGGGUUAGCAUCCUGGUUAGACAGGGUGAAGUGGCAGCGUUGGUAGCAUGCCUGUUCCUCCUCCAUUCCUGGGUUUUCUCAUGGGGUUAUUCCCAGCGCUGCCUUCAUGACACUUGGGCGUCUGCCCAGACAUGGCCACCAGCUGCUCUGCCCUACAAAAUGCCUCUUCUCCCUUGCAAAAUGCAACUGGGGACCUUCAGCUCUCAAAUGCCUGUCUCUUGGUGAGAAGGAAGCCAAGAACCAGCACUGCUGCAGGUGAAGAGAUCAUCCUCUUGCUAAGCUGCUCGGUGGGAAAGGUCUCUGCCAGCUGUGGAGAGGGUGCAAGGCAGAGGAGAUGCAGUUGUUGCUUGGAGACAGGGAAUGACAACAGAUUAAGUUUUUUUUUUUUUCUCUCACAAGCUUGUGACUGUCUGUACCUGUGAAAAAUGGACUCCAAACGCCAAUACACAGGGGAGCAAGGUGUGAAAACCCUGACCUUGGAGGCGCUGGGAGUGUGACUGUUGUGGUGCUUCAUUUAUUUUGCUGCUGUGCUUUGAGGGGGUGCUGCUGGCCAGAAGCUGAGCUCAGUUUUAAGCCUUUAGCAUAGAUUAAUCUUGAGAUCCCCUAUUUUUA
Molecule: long non-coding RNA, 1596 nt
Organism: Oxyura jamaicensis (ruddy duck)
Lineage: Eukaryota; Metazoa; Chordata; Aves; Anseriformes; Anatidae
Exons: 3
Source: RefSeq, a predicted model, not a curated record